GACGAACGCUGGCGGCGCGCUUAACACAUGCAAGUCGAACGGAAAGGCCUGCUUUCCCUUGUGGAUUGCGGGUACUCGAGUGGCGAACGGGUGAGUAACACGUGAGUGAUCUGCCCCCAACUUGGGUAUAAGCCUGGGAAACUGGGUCUAAUUCCCGAUAGGACUGCAGGUUGGUGCCUGUGGUGGAAAACGAUGUUCUAGUGGUUGGGUAUGGGCGCGCGGCCUAUCCGCUUGUUGGUGGGGUAAUGGCCUACCAAGGCGGCGACGGGUAGCCGGCCUGAGGGGGGGGACGGCCGCAGUUGGACUGAGAUACGGCCCAGACGCCUAAGGGAGGCAGGAGUGGGGAAUAUGGCACAAUGGGCGGAAGCCUGAUGCAGCGACGCCGCGUGGGGGAUGACGGCCUUCGGGUUGUAAACUCCUUUCGACCGAGAGGAAGCCACCUGGUUGGAAGGGUGGUGACGGUAGUGGUAGAAGAAGCACCGGCUAACUACGUG
This 494-nucleotide ribosomal RNA is filed under the name uncultured bacterium. RNAcentral's name for it is "partial 16S ribosomal RNA". It matches the Rfam family "Bacterial small subunit ribosomal RNA", at positions 28 to 507 of the family's 1533-position model. The record is from RNAcentral.